Molecule: long non-coding RNA, 3106 nt
Organism: Acinonyx jubatus (cheetah)
Lineage: Eukaryota; Metazoa; Chordata; Mammalia; Carnivora; Felidae
Exons: 2
Source: RefSeq, a predicted model, not a curated record
CGGGGCCCCGGGGAGGAGCAGGGGCAGGGGCAGGGGCGGGUUGGGGGCCCCGCCUCUGCCCGCGCCCCCUCCCGGCGCGCCGCGCCCAGACCCCCGCGCCAGGGAAACUGAGGCCGCGGGGUCGGUGACCGCCCAAGGGCACGCGGCCUGAGGCCUUGGAGACCUGCUCAGGCCUCGUUCCAGAAAGGGAAACUGAGGCCCGCGAGGCGGAAGGACACGUCCAAGGUCACUGAGCCCAGCCCCGGGGACCAGAGCCUCCUCCGCGCUCCACCUUCGCAAGGGAUCUUCCCCGCGCGCAGGGUUCACCCGCCUGGAGGCCACAGCCAGGCGCAGGGAAGCGAGACCGCCCCCGUGCCAGCCUCCUUCCUUUCUAGAUCACUCUCCCCGGUGGAUGGGGCGGGACAGCCAAACCUGAUGACCCCCAGCACCUCUGUCCUACUUCGUUCCAGCUCUGUCUUCUGCUGCUGGGCAAGACCCCCAAUCCCUCCCUUGCUGCCAACCGGUGUGAGACCUUGGGGUGCUCUGGGUGGGGUGUCCCAAGGAGAGGAUGCACAGCCCCCUCUGUGGGCCCAGAGAUGCCCGUGGGGUACUUCCAAAGAGCACCGGCAACGUGCCGUUUCGUCUAAUGGACACCCCAGCCCUCUGCCCUUCUGCCCUCCCAGAUUGGGACCCCGAGACACCGGUUCCUGAGCCUCCUAGCACUUGCCAAAUAUGAACCCAUGGACUCUUGAGACUUGGCUGCUGUCACUUCUUCACCCCACUCUGGGGAAACUGAGGCAGGCUCCAGCAGGCUGUUAACAAGAACGCCCCCCAGCGGCACAGAGCGCACACUGCCGUGCUCAUUAAAUGCUUACAGAUGGAGGGAUGAAUACUUAAGUACUUACAAAGAAAGCUUACAAAGCUGCUCGUGAGUGGUCCCAAUUUGGCUAAUUACACGUCCACGUGAGGGGCAUCUGUGAGGGGAGGGUCUUUUGGGCUAGGAGGACCAGAGAGGGCUGCUAAGGAGGCCGAGCCUCGCUCGCCUCGCCACAGCACCCCCCACGCUCCAGGAAGCCCCGCUCCUGCCCCAGGCUCUGCCGGCCAGAAGCUCCCGUACGUCCCGUCUGGACCCAGUGCAGAGCGCAGCAGGAAGCAGAUGGACAGGGCCCUGGCCUCCCAGGGGACACAGAGCCCCAGCAACCCAGUGCGCACGUGUGCCUUCUGACUUCGGGCGACGAGGGAGGCUGCACCUGAGCCCCGGCAGCUUCCCCAGCGAGGGGCCAGCUCGUCAUCACCUCCUCCCCCGCCACAGCCCAGCCACGACACGGGUGCCCAGCCAGUGUUGCUUCGUGAUCUCCACAAAGUGUGAGUGGUGGGUGCCCCCAAGGAACCCCAGGGUGCAGGGAGGUUGGGCCAGCUGUGUCCAGGGCCAGGCUGGUGCAGCCCCAAGAGCCCUCUGUAGAGGGGCUCCGCUGGCCCCUAGAGCCUGCUCCAUGGCAAGUGCGUAGCGCCCUCUGGUGACGGCCAGGGGGAAGGCCGGGUCCGCAGCUCCCCCAGCCCAGCGGGUUCAGCUCUUCCCGGUGUGACCUGGGGGUGGGAGGGGGCUGUAUCACGGACACCCGUUCUGCCCACAGAAGCCCAGGGAAUACUUGCAGCUGACAGUGUGGCCGCCAGAGCUCAGCGGGGGUGGGGGCACCCCGGUCAGCUCCAUUUCAGAGCCUGGAGUCUCAAACUGGCAGUUCGCGGGCCAGGCUUGACCUCGCGGGCGUCGUUACGCUGGAGUUUUUGCCCACAUUGAAAAUUAAGAAUUUCACAUGCAAGCCCCAAUUUCUGGCUGCUACGGAGACUUGGGAAUAGCUGGCUCAGGGCUCCUUGGCCUCUGGUUCCUCCUGACCCCAGAGGGGAGGUAUGGGAUGACCACACUCCCUAGGAGUGGCUGCGGGGUCACUCCUCCUCUGUACCAAGCAGGAGGCCUAGAUGGCACGGGCCAGAGCCCCCAGGUUUGGCGAGGACGAAGCUCAUGAGGCCCUACCUCCUGUGAUGUGCUCCCAUGGUGUGUUCCCCAGACCCUCAGCCCCACCCAUGUUUGUUGCAGUUGUCAGGCUGGGCUGUGCAAACAGGGACUCCCUUUCUCCUGGGGGCCGGCUCAGAAGGGCCACCUCCCUACCACAACACUGCCCUUCGGGGCUUUCUAGGCCUCAGUGGCCCCUCUUCAGCUGGACAAAGUCCCAAGGGGCUGGCUCCACUACGGACACCUGCCGGGAUCCAUCAUGAGGGCCUGCCCCACCCCCCACCCCCUCACCCCCCACUCAAACCACAGGGAGCUUCCUGCCCAGGGCAGGUGGGUGCCAGGCAGCUGUGGGUGGGGGUUGUCUGUUCUGUCCUGGGGGGCCCAUGGGAAGGAUUCCCAGGUGCCCCUGUCCAGUCCUCUUUGACGGCAAGAAACAAACUCAGAGGGAAGGGCUGCUGUGUGGAGGGAACCAGCUGGUGAGCCCCCCCCCCCAUUCCCAGACCUGCCACAGGCCUGGCCCCUCUGCCCCCCCCCCCCAUCUGCACCCCCCCCAACCCCUGCCCUGGUUCUCCUGCUGAGACCCUGGGCCGGCGCACACAGGAGCCUGGAAAGACGGACACGGGUCAGCCUUUAUUGGUGAGCAGGCAGGUGGCGGGCAGGUCAGGACGCAGCUCUGGCGGGAUGGCCACCACACCACUCCUCCACAGCCAGGCGGGGAUGUCGGGGGCCCCACCUGCCUCGAGCUGUCCCCACACACAACACAGACUGGAGGCGACCCGGCAGCACAGACCUCAGACAGACAGGCAGGCACAAUAUGCUCCCACCGCACAACCCGUGACUUUCUGCAAAGGGCCCCAACGAGGCCCAGCAGCCUCAGGAGGUAGAGCCCCACAAGAAGGCCAGUCUGCCCUUCAUGACCCCCAAGAUGGGGUGGGAUGCCGAGGGGAUGGGCUGGGGGGACGGGAGGGACAGGUGUCUGCGUGUGUGUCGGGGGGGGGAGGACAGCGAGGGGACAAGUGGGCAGCGAGGGGAUGGGCAGAGGGCACCAGUAAUCUCACAGGAAGCUCAUGGCUUCCUCAAGGCGCUCACAAAAUAUUUAAAAAGGAAAACUAAAAC